Molecule: long non-coding RNA, 389 nt
Organism: Balaenoptera musculus (blue whale)
Lineage: Eukaryota; Metazoa; Chordata; Mammalia; Artiodactyla; Balaenopteridae
Exons: 2
Source: RefSeq, a predicted model, not a curated record
GUCUGGUACCUCUAGAACAUUGCCGAAAAAAGUCGUUAGAGCAGAUAUCCUUGCCAUGUUCCUGCCCCAAAGACUGUCCUAGUCUUUCUCUGUACUGGAGUGCUAGUCUCAUCUUUAUUCCUGACAUUAGCAAUUUAUAUCUUUUUUCUUCUUUUCCUGAUUUGUCUUGCUAGAGAUUUAUCAAUUUUAUUAAUCCUCUCAGAGAACCAGCUUUGGAUUUCAUUGAUAAUCUCCAUCAUUUUUCUGUUUCCUAUUUCUUAGAUUUCUGCUCUGAUCUUCAGUAUAUCCUUUCUCCUGCUUAUUUUUGCUUUAUUUACUCUUCUUUUUUUACUUUCUUAAGUGGAAUCUGAUGUCACUUGUUUGAAACUUCCCUUUUUUCUUCUUCUUUU